RNAcentral lists this ribosomal RNA (109 nucleotides) under Mustela putorius furo (domestic ferret). The record is from RNAcentral. Lineage: Eukaryota; Metazoa; Chordata; Mammalia; Carnivora; Mustelidae.
GUGUACGGCCACACCACCCUGAACGCGCCCAAUCUCGUCUGAUCUCGGAAGCUAAGCAGGGUCGGGCCUGGUUAGUACUUGGAUGGGAGAAUCCACGAGCCCAUAUUUA